This 300-nucleotide signal recognition particle RNA is filed under the name Cebus imitator (Panamanian white-faced capuchin). Its description in RNAcentral is "Metazoan signal recognition particle RNA (ENSCCAG00000013043.1)". It matches the Rfam family "Metazoan signal recognition particle RNA". Rfam says of the family: The signal recognition particle (SRP) is a universally conserved ribonucleoprotein. It is involved in the co-translational targeting of proteins to membranes. Lineage: Eukaryota; Metazoa; Chordata; Mammalia; Primates; Cebidae. The record is from RNAcentral.
GCUGGGCAUGGUGGCACGUGCCUGUAGUCCCAGCUAUUCGGGAGGCUGAGGCUGGAGGAUCUCUUGAGUCCAGGAGUUCUGGGCUGUAGUGCGCUAUGCCGAUUGGGUGUCCGCACUAAGUUCGGCAUCAAUAUGGUGACCUCCUGGGAGUGGGGGACCACCAGGUUGCCUAAGGAGGGGUGAACCGGCCCAGGUCGGAGACAGAGCAGGUCAAAACUCCCGUGCUGAUCAGUAGUGGGAUCGCACCUGUGAAUGGCCACUGCACUCCAGCCUGGGCAACAAGAGCAAAACUCCAUCUCA